UACGGGGGGGGCAAGCGUUGUUCGGAAUUACUGGGCGUAAGGGGCUCGUAGGCGGCCAACUAAGUCGGAUGUGAAAUCCCCAGGCUUAACCUGGGAACUGCAUCCGAUACUGGAUGGCUUGAAUCCGGGAGAGGGAUGCAGAAUUCCAGGUGUAGCGGUGAAAUGCGUAGAUAUCUGGAGGAAUACCGGUGGCGAAGGCGGCAUCCUGGACCGGCAUUGACGCUGAGGAGCGAAAGCUAGGGGAGCAAACGGG
This 253-nucleotide ribosomal RNA is filed under the name uncultured bacterium. Its description in RNAcentral is "partial 16S ribosomal RNA". It matches the Rfam family "Bacterial small subunit ribosomal RNA", at positions 524 to 776 of the family's 1533-position model. The record is from RNAcentral.